AUUGAACGCUGGCGGCAGGCCUAACACAUGCAAGUCGAACGGUAACAGGAAGCAGCUUGCUGCUUCGCUGACGAGUGGCGGACGGGUGAGUAAUGUCUGGGAAGCUGCCUGAUGGAGGGGGAUAACUACUGGAAACGGUAGCUAAUACCGCAUAAUGUCGCAAGACCAAAGAGGGGGACCUUCGGGCCUCUUGCCAUCGGAUGUGCCCAGAUGGGAUUAGCUUGUUGGUGGGGUAACGGCUCACCAAGGCGACGAUCCCUAGCUGGUCUGAGAGGAUGACCAGCCACACUGGAACUGAGACACGGUCCAGACUCCUACGGGAGGCAGCAGUGGGGAAUAUUGCACAAUGGGCGCAAGCCUGAUGCAGCCAUGCCGCGUGUAUGAAGAAGGCCUUCGGGUUGUAAAGUACUUUCAGCGGGGAGGAAGGGAGUAAAGUUAAUACCUUUGCUCAUUGACGUUACCCACAGAAGAAGCACCGGCUAACUCCGUG
RNAcentral lists this ribosomal RNA (490 nucleotides) under uncultured bacterium. Its description in RNAcentral is "partial 16S ribosomal RNA". It matches the Rfam family "Bacterial small subunit ribosomal RNA", at positions 30 to 507 of the family's 1533-position model. The record is from RNAcentral.